UGCCAGCCGCCGCGGUAAGACGAAGGGUGCUAGCGUUGUUCGGAAUGACUGGGCGUAAAGGGCGCGUAGGCGGUCUUUUAAGUUAGGCGUGAAAGCCCCGGGCUUAACCCGGGACGUGCGCUUAAGACUGGAAGGCUUGAGUAUGGAAGAGGUAAGUGGAAUUCCUAGUGUAGAGGUGAAAUUCGUAGAUAUUAGGAAGAACACCAGUGGCGAAGGCGGCUUACUGGUCCAUUACUGACGCUGAGGCGCGAAAGUGUGGGGAGCAAACAGGAUUAGAUA
Molecule: ribosomal RNA, 279 nt
Filed under: uncultured bacterium
Lineage: Bacteria
Description: partial 16S ribosomal RNA
Rfam family: Bacterial small subunit ribosomal RNA
Source: RNAcentral